This 482-nucleotide ribosomal RNA is filed under the name uncultured bacterium. RNAcentral describes it as "partial 16S ribosomal RNA". It matches the Rfam family "Bacterial small subunit ribosomal RNA", at positions 30 to 523 of the family's 1533-position model. The record is from RNAcentral.
AUUGAACGCUGGCGGCAGGCUUAACACAUGCAAGUCGAACGGUAACAGGGUGCUUGCACCGCUGACGAGUGGCGGACGGGUGAGUAACGCGUGAGCAACCUGCCCUGCAACGGGGGACAACAGUCGGAAACGAUUGCUAAUACCGCAUAAGACCACACUACCACAUGGUAGAGGGGUAAAAGGAUUUAUUCGAUGCAGGAUGGGCUCGCGUCCCAUUAGAUAGUUGGUGAGGUAACGGCUCACCAAGUCAACGAUGGGUAGCCGACCUGAGAGGGUGAUCGGCCACACUGGAACUGAGACACGGUCCAGACUCCUACGGGAGGCAGCAGUGGGGAAUAUUGGGCAAUGGAGGAAACUCUGACCCAGCAACGCCGCGUGAAGGAAGAAGGCCUUCGGGUUGUAAACUUUUGUCCUAUGGGACGAAGAAGUGACGGUACCAUAGGAGGAAGCUCCGGCUAACUACGUGCCAGCCGCCGCGGUAA